UACGAAGGGGGCUAGCGUUGCUCGGAAUCACUGGGCGUAAAGCGCACGUAGGCGGGUCGUUAAGUCAGGGGUGAAAUCCCGGAGCUCAACUCCGGAACUGCCUUUGAUACUGGCGAUCUUGAGUUCGAGAGAGGUGAGUGGAACUGCGAGUGUAGAGGUGAAAUUCGUAGAUAUUCGCAAGAACACCAGUGGCGAAGGCGGCUCACUGGCCCGGUACUGACGCUGAGGCACGAAAGCGUGGGGAGCAAACAGG
This 253-nucleotide ribosomal RNA is filed under the name uncultured bacterium. Its description in RNAcentral is "partial 16S ribosomal RNA". It matches the Rfam family "Bacterial small subunit ribosomal RNA", at positions 524 to 776 of the family's 1533-position model. The record is from RNAcentral.